GAUCAUGGCUCAGGAUUUUGAACGCUAGCUACAGGCUUAACACAUGCAAGUCGAGGGGAAACGACAUCGAAAGCUUGCUUUUGAUGGGCGUCGACCGGCGCACGGGUGAGUAACGCGUAUCCAACCUGCCCACCACUUGGGGAUAACCUUGCGAAAGUAAGACUAAUACCCAAUGAUAUCUCUAGAAGACAUCUGAAAGAGAUUAAAGAUUCAUCGGUGAUGGAUGGGGAUGCGU
Molecule: ribosomal RNA, 235 nt
Filed under: uncultured bacterium
Lineage: Bacteria
Description: partial 16S ribosomal RNA
Rfam family: Bacterial small subunit ribosomal RNA
Source: RNAcentral